This 494-nucleotide ribosomal RNA is filed under the name uncultured bacterium. RNAcentral describes it as "partial 16S ribosomal RNA". It matches the Rfam family "Bacterial small subunit ribosomal RNA", at positions 28 to 507 of the family's 1533-position model. The record is from RNAcentral.
GACGAACGCUGGCGGCGUGCUUAACACAUGCAAGUCGAACGGUGAAGCGCCUUCCUUUUUGGUGGGUGUGGAUGAGUGGCGAACGGGUGAGUAACACGUGAGUAACCUGCCCCCUUCUUCUGGAUAACCGCAUGAAAGUGUGGCUAAUACGGGAUAUUCUGGGUCUGUCGCAUGAUGGGUCUGGGAAAGAUAUUGUUUCGGUGGGGGAUGGGCUCGCGGCCUAUCAGCUUGUUGGUGGGGUGAUGGCCUACCCAGGCGGUGACGGGUAGCCGGCCUGAGAGGGUGGACGGUCACAAUGGGACUGAGACACGGUGCAGACUCGUACGGGAGGCAGCAGUGGGGAAUAUUGCACAAUGGGCGCAAGCCUGAUGCAGCGACGCCGCGUGAGGGAUGGAGGCCUUCGGGUUGUGAACCUCUUUCGCCAGUGAAGCAGGCCUGCCUCGUUUGUGGGUGGGUUGACGGUAGCUGGAUAAGAAGCGCCGGCUAACUACGUG